UACGGAGGGAGCUAGCGUUGUUCGGAUUUACUGGGCGUAAAGGGCGCGUAGGCGGCCACCGCAAGUCGACUGUGAAAUCUCCGGGCUUAACCCGGAAAGGUCAGCCGAUACUGCGGGGCUAGAGUGCAGAAGGGGCAACUGGAAUUCUCGGUGUAGCGGUGAAAUGCGUAGAUAUCGAGAGGAACACCUGCGGCGAAGGCGGGUUGCUGGGCUGACACUGACGCUGAGGCGCGAAAGCUAGGGGAGCGAACGGG
RNAcentral lists this ribosomal RNA (254 nucleotides) under uncultured bacterium. Its description in RNAcentral is "partial 16S ribosomal RNA". It matches the Rfam family "Bacterial small subunit ribosomal RNA", at positions 524 to 776 of the family's 1533-position model. The record is from RNAcentral.